GAUGAACGCUGGCGGCGUGCCUAAUACAUGCAAGUCGAGCGAACAGACGAGGAGCUUGCUCCUUUGACGUUAGCGGCGGACGGGUGAGUAACACGUAGGUAACCUACCUAUAAGACUGGGAUAACUUCGGGAAACCGGAGCUAAUACCGGAUAAUAUUUCGAACCGCAUGGUUCGAUAGUGAAAGAUGGCUUUGCUAUCACUUAUAGAUGGACCUGCGCCGUAUUAGCUAGUUGGUAAGGUAACGGCUUACCAAGGCAACGAUACGUAGCCGACCUGAGAGGGUGAUCGGCCACACUGGAACUGAGACACGGUCCAGACUCCUACGGGAGGCAGCAGUAGGGAAUCUUCCGCAAUGGGCGAAAGCCUGACGGAGCAACGCCGCGUGAGUGAUGAAGGUCUUCGGAUCGUAAAACUCUGUUAUUAGGGAAGAACAAACGUGUAAGUAACUGUGCACGUCUUGACGGUACCUAAUCAGAAAGCCACGGCUAACUACGU
This 496-nucleotide ribosomal RNA is filed under the name uncultured bacterium. RNAcentral's name for it is "partial 16S ribosomal RNA". It matches the Rfam family "Bacterial small subunit ribosomal RNA", at positions 28 to 506 of the family's 1533-position model. The record is from RNAcentral.